CCAUUGACCAAGCUGCACUUUAUGACAAGUAGCCUAUACAGCAUAUCCUGUCUACAGGCUUCCGUAAUGUUUCUGUGUCUCUGUGUUCAUUGUGGCUUUUUUUUGUACUCUGUUCUACAGUAUGAAGUUAUAUGAUUACAGGAAAACAGGGGUUGUUCAUUUUCAUCCGUAGUUGACACUGAACGAGAACAAUCUACAGAAUCAUGUGCAAACUUCCCCUUUGGUGUUCUAUAGUAUUGCUGUUAUUCCCAGUCCCUGCAAAUGCCAGGGUGUGGAUGAACCAGUGGUCCUCAAAGAAUGCUUACAUAGUAGGGGAAACAGCUGCUCUUAAUUGCAACAUAACCUCAGAUCAUGAGGAAAUAAGAAAUUGCAAAAUGAGAUGGAUCAUUGAAGAUCAAGGUGAUGUCACAAGUUUGGAGUUGUAUAAGCAUCGUGUCAACAUGAAUUUGAGCAAAACAGCUACUACUAUGACAUUGAGAAACCUGACCUUGAGUGACACCAUUAUGCCAAUUUGCAUCGCAAAGUGCAUCAUUGACAGUGUCAACAGCAAGGUUUAUGGGGAGGGUGGCACACUUCACAUUUUUGAAGACAUCAACCAGAUGACCCUGGUCUCAAAGUUGACAACACUGGUCCCAAAGGAAAUCAAACAGGAACAUGCUCUCACUUGGCUGAACCAUGUUUUUCUCAGCAUAAACAUCCUGAUUUUCAUUGUGGCCACAAUUAUUUGUGUGUCAUACAUCAGAACCCAAAUGAAUAUGAAUUAAAAAGGGAUUGCAUUAGUUGUUAAAAUAUUGCCUGAAGCACCCUUCCAAGUUAUAGCCUAAAGCCUAUGCUCUAACACCUUUAGUAAACUGUAAACCGUGAUUUGAAAUGUUUUCGGAACAAUAGCUUUCUUCAUGCACUGCAUUUUUAUUGUGUUUUUAGGCCUGUUCAUAUUUUAUUACUCUAAUGUAUAGAAUGUAUGCCUACUGAUAUAGUUUUUACUGUCUUGUAUUAUUAUCUGAAAACAAACUAGGUAAAGGUGAAAGGUGACAAGCAUCUGGUAAAUGCAUUCCAGAUUAGAGUGAGCAAAAGACUACAUUUGAUUUACUUUCCUUUAGUAUCCAUGUGGACAUUUUGAAUACAGUUGACAUAUAUUAAUUUAAUUGUGUAUCCUAAUCAUAAUCAUUGCUAUUGAUAGAAUAUAGAUUAUUUUUCACGUCUGCUCCUGCUCUUCCCCCCCAGGUGCUUGAGGGUGCCAGGCUGCCCUGCAUCACUCACUCCUAUCAUCCACUACGCACACCUGCCUUUCCUUGUCAUGCUCUUCAGCUAUAUUGGACUCACUUAUCUGUUUAUUACCUUGCCUAUAUUUGUCAGUUUCCCUGCUGAUGCAUUGAUUGUUUUUUGUCUGUAUUAUUAGUUUACUGACGCUGUUCCUGUCUCAUGUCCGUUCUUUAUUAAAUGUUUGACUCCCCGUACCUGCUUCGUCUCUCCAGCGUCAUUCCAUGUGACACUAUGCACGAUAUGGAUACAUUCUCCCACACACCAGCCUGGUCUCAGACUAGAUGUAACAUAGUAAACAUAAGCCCGGGAUACUGAUAUUAGUAUAUGUUAUUUUUGGUAUAAUUACUUAAGGCAAAAGUAGGGUGGUUGGUCAGGGUGAAUGAGUGAGCGUAUAACACGAACGUCUAGCAACUGUCGGUGUGAAUGGGUGGGCAUUUAACACGUAUGUCUAGCAACCCAAAAGGUUACGUUUGAAUCUAAUCUUGGAUAACUUCAGCAACUUUGCAACUACAUACUACUUUUUAGCUACUUUGCAACUACUUAGCAUGUUAGCUAACCUUAACCCUUUAACCUAACCUUA
Oncorhynchus tshawytscha (Chinook salmon) is the source of this 1843-nucleotide long non-coding RNA. The record is from Ensembl. NCBI's taxonomy places the organism in Eukaryota, Metazoa, Chordata, Actinopteri, Salmoniformes, Salmonidae.